UUUCCUCUGGCUCAGAUGGUAGAGCGUUGUGCUAAUAACGCAAAAGUUAUGGGUUCAAAUCCCAGGGAAAG
Molecule: transfer RNA, 71 nt
Filed under: Danionella translucida
Lineage: Eukaryota; Metazoa; Chordata; Actinopteri; Cypriniformes; Danionidae
Also listed under: 1 other name
Rfam family: tRNA
About the family: Transfer RNA (tRNA) molecules are approximately 80 nucleotides in length.
Source: Rfam by way of RNAcentral